This 501-nucleotide ribosomal RNA is filed under the name uncultured bacterium. RNAcentral describes it as "partial 16S ribosomal RNA". It matches the Rfam family "Bacterial small subunit ribosomal RNA", at positions 30 to 523 of the family's 1533-position model. The record is from RNAcentral.
AUUGAACGCUGGCGGCAUGCCUUACACAUGCAAGUCGAACGGCAGCACGGGUGCUUGCACCUGGUGGCGAGUGGCGAACGGGCGAGUAAUACAUCGGAACGUACCUUAUCGUGGGGGAUAACGCAGCGAAAGUUGCGCUAAUACCGCAUACGCCCCGAGGGGGAAAGCGGGGGACCGUAAGGCCUCGCGCGAUUAGAGCGGCCGAUGUCUGAUUAGCUUGUUGGUGAGGUAAAAGCUCACCAAGGCGAUGAUCAGUAGCUGGUCUGAGAGGAAGAUCAGCCGCACUGGGACUGGGACACGGCCCAGACUCCUACGGGAGGCAGCAGUGGGGAAUUUUGGACAAUGGGGGCAACCCUGAUCCAGCAAUGCCGCGUGAGUGAAGAAGGCCUUCGGGUUGUAAAGCUCUUUUGUCAGGGAAGAAACAGCAGCUCUAACACAGUCUGCGAAUGACGGUACCUGAAGAAUAAGCACCGGCUAACUACGUGCCAGCCGCCGCAGUAA